RNAcentral lists this ribosomal RNA (482 nucleotides) under uncultured bacterium. RNAcentral describes it as "partial 16S ribosomal RNA". It matches the Rfam family "Bacterial small subunit ribosomal RNA", at positions 30 to 507 of the family's 1533-position model. The record is from RNAcentral.
AUUGAACGCUGGCGGCAUGCCUUACACAUGCAAGUCGAACGGUAACAGGUCUUCGGAUGCUGACGAGUGGCGAACGGGUGAGUAAUACAUCGGAACGUGCCCAGACGUGGGGGAUAACGAGGCGAAAGCUUUGCUAAUACCGCAUACGAUCUAAGGAUGAAAGCAGGGGACCGCAAGGCCUUGUGCGUUUGGAGCGGCCGAUGGCAGAUUAGGUAGUUGGUGGGAUAAAAGCUUACCAAGCCGACGAUCUGUAGCUGGUCUGAGAGGACGACCAGCCACACUGGGACUGAGACACGGCCCAGACUCCUACGGGAGGCAGCAGUGGGGAAUUUUGGACAAUGGGCGAAAGCCUGAUCCAGCAAUGCCGCGUGCAGGAUGAAGGCCUUCGGGUUGUAAACUGCUUUUGUACGGAACGAAAAGGCUCUGGCUAAUACCUGGGGCACAUGACGGUGCCGUAAGAAUAAGCACCGGCUAACUACGUG